Molecule: ribosomal RNA, 486 nt
Filed under: uncultured bacterium
Lineage: Bacteria
Description: partial 16S ribosomal RNA
Rfam family: Bacterial small subunit ribosomal RNA
Source: RNAcentral
GAUGAACGCUGGCGGCGUGCUUAACACAUGCAAGUCGAACGGAAAGGCCUCAGCUUGCUGGGGUACUCGAGUGGCGAACGGGUGAGUAACACGUGGGUGGUCUGCCCUGCACUUUGGGAUAAGCCCGGGAAACUGGGUCUAAUACCGAAUAUGACCACUUCUUGGAUGUUGUGGUGGAAAGCUUUUGCGGUGUGGGAUGAGCCUGCGGCCUAUCAGCUUGUUGGUGGGGUAAUGGCCUACCAAGGCGGCGACGGGUAUCCGGCCUGAGAGGGUGUACGGACACAUUGGGACUGAGAUACGGACCAGACUCCUACGGGAGGCAGCAGUGGGGAAUAUUGCACAAUGGGCGCAAGCCUGAUGCAGCGACGCCGCGUGGGGGAUGAAGGCCUUCGGGUUGUAAACUCCUUUCGCUAUCGACGAAGCCACUUGUGGUGACGGUAGGUAGAUAAGAAGCACCGGCUAACUACGUGCCAGCCGCCGCCGUAA